This is a long non-coding RNA of Cheilinus undulatus (humphead wrasse), 465 nucleotides long. RefSeq lists it as uncharacterized. NCBI's taxonomy places the organism in Eukaryota, Metazoa, Chordata, Actinopteri, Labriformes, Labridae. The record is from RefSeq and is a predicted model, not a curated record. The transcript has 3 exons.
CUCAGUUAUAAGCAAGGCCAGUGGGGGGGUGAGGCAGAGGGGCAUCUCAUAGGGAAAACCUCGCACUUUUCUCAGCAUGCUGCAGUGGUCUGGUUCUGGAGGCACGGGGAACUGAGGACGGUUAAAAAGUUUAUUUUUUCAAACCAGCAGUCUGAUUCAAGCUCAGUUACGUCACUAAAAGAGUAACAUCGCACCGCACCUUCCCUGUAACCAAUGAGAAAAGAAGGAUUCCCAGAGACCACCAAUCAGCUGCAUGGUUGUAGGGUCCCCCACUCAGCACCUCUGGGGCUGCAGAGCAGACAGAGCAUGCUCACAACACUGAAUGCGACGGGAUAAACCAAAGUCAGCUAAGCGAAGGUGUCCUGGAACAAACCAUUUUAAUCACAUCACUGUGUGCACGUGACAUGAAUCUACAUUCAGAUUCUUCUGACUGACGCAUAUCAAAUAAAGUAAAACAUACCAAAA